UACGGAGGAGGCAAGCGUUAUCCGGAAUUAUUGGGCGUAAAGCGUCCGCAGGUGGCUAUUCAAGUCUGCGGUCAAAGACUGGGGCUUAACCCUGGAAAGGCCGUGGAAACUGAAGAGCUAGAGUGCAGUAGGGGUAGAGGGAAUUCCCGGUGUAGCGGUGAAAUGCGUAGAGCUCGGGAAGAACAUCGGUGGCGAAAGCGCUCUGCUGGACUGCAACUGACACUCAGGGACGAAAGCUAGGGGAGCGAAAGGG
This 253-nucleotide ribosomal RNA is filed under the name uncultured bacterium. RNAcentral's name for it is "partial 16S ribosomal RNA". It matches the Rfam family "Bacterial small subunit ribosomal RNA", at positions 524 to 776 of the family's 1533-position model. The record is from RNAcentral.